AAUGAUGGAUCCAUGUGAUUUCAGAUAAGAGGAAUUGAAGAACUGCUUGAAGCCUAUAUUCUCUUAGGCAUUUCAGUAGUACGGAUAGGUUGGAGAGAAGCACAUUUCUCUUGGUGUAUAUACCCGACAAGGAAUGUCUGUAUUGAACCCAAAACGAGUGGGAGAGAAUUGAAAGAAGAGGAUGUGAAGCAAUUUUGAGGAACAAUUGGCUGAAAUUUCUCUCGAGGAUCGACGGGAAAACAUCAAAUUGAAAGAAGUCGAAGGAAGUAGUGCAAAUCACAGAAAUUCAAGAUGGGAGACAGAAGAGACCUGACAGAGGGCAAUUUAGAUCUCAAGAGAUCAAGAAUUAGGAAAACCCCCUCGAGGAUGGAAAGAUUUCGAGUGCAGCGAUAGAACCUUUGAUAUACUGUGCAUAGUUUUUGAUAUAGACAAGUAGUUUUAUCUCUUAAUUUUCAGAUGUAGGAAUUGUAUAUGACAAACAAGCAGCCGGUAUAUCUAUUGAAUGAUGUUUUCUUUUUUCUCUCUCUUUUUUGAUCGAUAAAUAAAAUUGUGUUGUG
This is a long non-coding RNA of Olea europaea var. sylvestris, 557 nucleotides long. RefSeq lists it as uncharacterized. Lineage: Eukaryota; Viridiplantae; Streptophyta; Magnoliopsida; Lamiales; Oleaceae. The record is from RefSeq and is a predicted model, not a curated record. The transcript has 2 exons.